GACGAACGCUGGCGGCGUGCUUAACACAUGCAAGUCGAACGGAAAGGCCCCAGCUUUCUGGGGUACUCGAGUGGCGAACGGGUGAGUAACACGUGGGUGAUCUGCCCUGCACUCUGGGAUAAGCCUGGGAAACUGGGUCUAAUACCGGAUAGGACCGUCCGUUAGUGUGUGCGGGUGAGAGUUUUUCGGUGGGGGAUGAGCCCGCGGCCUAUCAGCUUGUUGGUGGGGUAGUGGCCUACCAAGGCGGCGACGGGUAGCCGGCCUGAGAGGGUGUACGGCCACAUUGGGACUGAGACACGGCCCAGACUCCUACGGGAGGCAGCAGUGGGGAAUAUUGCACAAUGGGCGCAAGCCUGAUGCAGCGACGCCGCGUGGGGGAUGACGGCCUUCGGGUUGUAAACCCCUUUCGGCAGGGACGAAGCUUUUGUGACGGUACCUGCAUAAGAAGCACCGGCUAACUACGUG
This 465-nucleotide ribosomal RNA is filed under the name uncultured bacterium. Its description in RNAcentral is "partial 16S ribosomal RNA". It matches the Rfam family "Bacterial small subunit ribosomal RNA", at positions 28 to 507 of the family's 1533-position model. The record is from RNAcentral.